GACGAACGCUGGCGGCGUGCCUAAUACAUGCAAGUCGAGCGAGCAGAACCAGCAGAUUUACUUCGGUAAUGACGCUGGGGACGCGAGCGGCGGAUGGGUGAGUAACACGUGGGGAACCUGCCCCAUAGUCUGGGAUACCACUUGGAAACAGGUGCUAAUACCGGAUAAGAAAGCAGAUCGCAUGAUCAGCUUAUAAAAGGCGGCGUAAGUGUCGCUAUGGGAUGGCCCCGCGGUGCAUUAGCUAGUUGGUAAGGUAACGGCUUACCAAGGCGAUGAUGCAUAGCCGAGUUGAGAGACUGAUCGGCCACAUUGGGACUGAGACACGGCCCAAACUCCUACGGGAGGCAGCAGUAGGGAAUCUUCCACAAUGGACGCAAGUCUGAUGGAGCAACCCGCGUGAGUGAAGAAGGUUUUCGGAUCGUAAAGCUCUGUUGUUGGUGAAGAAGGAUAGAGGUAGUAACUGGCCUUUAUUUGACGGUAAUCAACCAGAAAGUCACGGCUAACUACGUGCCAGCAGCCGCGGUAAUACGUAGGUGGCAAGCGUUGUCCGGAUUUAUUGGGCGUAAAGCGAGCGCAGGCGGAAAAAUAAGUCUGAUGUGAAAGCCCUCGGCUUAACCGAGGAACUGCAUCGGAAACUGUUUUUCUUGAGUGCAGAAGAGGAGAGUGGAACUCCAUGUGUAGCGGUGGAAUGCGUAGAUAUAUGGAAGAACACCAGUGGCGAAGGCGGCUCUCUGGUCUGCAACUGACGCUGAGGCUCGAAAGCAUGGGUAGCGAACAGGAUUAGAUACCCUGGUAGUCCAUGCCGUAAACGAUGAGUGCUAAGUGUUGGGAGGUUUCCGCCUCUCAGUGCUGCAGCUAACGCAUUAAGCACUCCGCCUGGGGAGUACGACCGCAAGGUUGAAACUCAAAGGAAUUGACGGGGGCCCGCACAAGCGGUGGAGCAUGUGGUUUAAUUCGAAGCAACGCGAAGAACCUUACCAGGUCUUGACAUCUAGUGCCAUCCUAAGAGAUUAGGAGUUCCCUUCGGGGACGCUAAGACAGGUGGUGCAUGGCUGUCGUCAGCUCGUGUCGUGAGAUGUUGGGUUAAGUCCCGCAACGAGCGCAACCCUUGUUAUUAGUUGCCAGCAUUAAGUUGGGCACUCUAAUGAGACUGCCGGUGACAAACCGGAGGAAGGUGGGGAUGACGUCAAGUCAUCAUGCCCCUUAUGACCUGGGCUACACACGUGCUACAAUGGGCAGUACAACGAGAAGCGAGCCUGCGAAGGCAAGCGAAUCUCUGAAAGCUGUUCUCAGUUCGGACUGCAGUCUGCAACUCGACUGCACGAAGCUGGAAUCGCUAGUAAUCGCGGAUCAGCACGCCGCGGUGAAUACGUUCCCGGGCCUUGUACACACCGCCCGUCACACCAUGGAAGUCUGCAAUGCCCAAAGCCGGUGGCCUAACCUCCGGGAAGGAGCCGUCUAAGGCAGGGCAGAUGACUGGGGUG
Molecule: ribosomal RNA, 1484 nt
Filed under: uncultured bacterium
Lineage: Bacteria
Description: bacterial SSU rRNA
Rfam family: Bacterial small subunit ribosomal RNA
Source: RNAcentral